This 278-nucleotide ribosomal RNA is filed under the name uncultured bacterium. RNAcentral's name for it is "partial 16S ribosomal RNA". It matches the Rfam family "Bacterial small subunit ribosomal RNA", at positions 333 to 628 of the family's 1533-position model. The record is from RNAcentral.
CUGCUCCUACGGGGCGCAGCAGUGGGGGAUAUUGCACAAUGGGGGGAACCCUGAUGCAGCGACGCCGCGUGGGUGAAGAAGCGCCUCGGCGCGUAAAGCCCUGUCAGCAGGGAAGAAAAUGACGGUACCUGAAGAAGAAGCCCCGGCUAACUACGUGCCAGCAGCCGCGGUAAUACGUAGGGGGCAAGCGUUAUCCGGAUUUACUGGUUGUAAAGGGGGCGCAGACGGCGAUGCACGCCAGGAUUGAAAGCCCGUGGCCCAACCCCGGGACUGCUCUU